This 237-nucleotide ribosomal RNA is filed under the name Hepatozoon cf. felis. RNAcentral's name for it is "partial 18S ribosomal RNA". It matches the Rfam family "Eukaryotic small subunit ribosomal RNA", at positions 566 to 801 of the family's 1831-position model. The record is from RNAcentral. Lineage: Eukaryota; Apicomplexa; Hepatozoidae.
GCCAGCAGCCGCGGUAAUUCCAGCUCCAAUAGCGUAUAUUAAAAUUGUUGCAGUUAAAAAGCUCGUAGUUGAAUUUCUGCUAAAAAUAACCGGUCUGCUUUAAAUAAAGGUGGUAUCUUGGUGUGUUUUUAGCAAUAAUGUCCUUUGAAAUGUUUUUUACUUCAUUGUAAUAAAUUAUAUUCAGGAUUUUUACUUUGAGAAAAUUAGAGUGUUUCUAGCAGGCUAACGCUUUGAAUA